RNAcentral lists this ribosomal RNA (500 nucleotides) under uncultured bacterium. RNAcentral's name for it is "partial 16S ribosomal RNA". It matches the Rfam family "Bacterial small subunit ribosomal RNA", at positions 30 to 523 of the family's 1533-position model. The record is from RNAcentral.
AUUGAACGCUGGCGGCAUGCCUUACACAUGCGAGUCGAACGGCAGCACGGGAGCAAUCCUGGUGGCGAGUGGCGAACGGGUGAGUAAAGUAUCGGAACGUGCCCAGUCGUGGGGGAUAACGUAGCGAAAGUUACGCUAAUACCGCAUACGAUCUAUGGAUGAAAGCGGGGGAUCGCAAGACCUCGCGCGAUUGGAGCGGCCGAUAUCAGAUUAGGUAGGUGGUGGGGUAAAGGCCCACCAAGCCGACGAUCUGUAGCUGGUCUGAGAGGACGACCAGCCACACUGGAACUGGGACACGGCCCAGACUCCUACGGGAGGCAGCAGUGGGGAAUUUUGGACAAUGGGCGAAAGCCUGAUCCAGCCAUGCCGCGUGCAGGAUGAAGGCCUUCGGGUUGUAAACUGCUUUUGUACGGAACGAAAAGGUUUGGCCUAAUAAGCUGAGCUCAUGACGGUACCGUAAGAAUAAGCACCGGCUAACUACGUGCCAGCAGCCGCCGUAA